This 936-nucleotide long non-coding RNA is filed under the name Monodelphis domestica (gray short-tailed opossum). RNAcentral's name for it is "lncRNA (ENSMODG00000038766.1)". The record is from RNAcentral. Lineage: Eukaryota; Metazoa; Chordata; Mammalia; Didelphimorphia; Didelphidae.
AUGCUGGGCUCUCUGGGUCAUCCUUCUCACCCUGGGCUCUCCAGUCAUCCUUUACUUCUCAUGCUGGGCUCUCCAGUCAUCCUUUACUUCUCACCCUGGGCUCUCUGGGUCAUUCUUUACUUCUCAUGCUGGGCUCUCCAGUCAUCCUUUACUUCUCACCCUGGGCUCUCUGGGUCAUCCUUCUCACCCUGGGCUCUCUGGUCAUUCUUUACUUCUCAUGCUGGGCUCUCUGGGUCAUCCUUCACAUCCUGGGCUCUCCAGUCAUCCUUUACUUCUCAUGCUGGGCUCUCUGGGUCAUCCUUCUCACCCUGGGCUCUCCAGUCAUCCUUUACUUCUCAUGCUGGGCUCUCCAGUCAUCCUUUACUUCUCAUGCUGGGCUCUCCAGUCAUCCUUUACUUCUCAACCUGGGCUCUCUGGGUCAUCCUUCUCACCCUGGGCUCUCUGGUCAUUCUUUACUUCUCAUGCUGGGCUCUCCAGUCAUCCUUUACUUCUCAUGCUGAGCUCUCUGGAUCAUCCUUUACUUCUCACCUUGGGCUCUCUGGGUCAUCCUUCUCACCCUGGGCUCUCCAGUCAUCCUUUACUUCUCAUGCUGGGCUUUCCGGGUCAUCCUUUACUUCUCAACCCUGGGCUCUCUGGGUCAUCCUUCUCACCCUGGGCUCUCCAGUCAUCCUUUACUUCUCAACCUGGGCUCUCUGGGGCAUCCUUUACUUCUCACCCUGGGCUCUCCCAGUUAUCCCUUACUUCUCACAUUGGGGUCUUAACGUGGGGACACAGCAAGGGGAUGUUUACAAAAGGUAUUUAAAGAAAUAUUUUUUUAAGAAGGAAAAGAAAGCUAGAUUCCACAGAAGCAUCUGGAUUUUGAUUCAUUUGGCAAACCAGUGUGAGGACAUCCACGUGUUUCCCAAUUUUGUCUUUUUCAAUCUCUCUCAAUUCUAG